GGCGAGUGAAGCGGGAAGAGCUCAAAUUUGAAAUCUUCAAGGUUCUACCUUGACGAAUUGUAGUUUAAAGAAGUGUUUUCUGUUGGAGUUUUGGUAAAAGUUCUUUGGAAUAGGACAUCAUAGAGGGUGAGAAUCCCGUAUUUGACCAUUAUUUCCAGCUUUGUGAUACACUUUCAAAGAGUCGGAUUGUUUGGGAAUGCAGUCCAAAAUGGGUGGUAAAUUUCAUCUAAAGCUAAAUAUUGGCGAGAGACCGAUAGCGAACAAGUACCGUGAGGGAAAGAUGAAAAGAACUUUGAAAAGAGAGUUAAACAGUACGUGAAAUUGUCAAAAGGGAAGCGUUUGACACCAGUGUUGUUUUCUCGAAAAUCAAUUAAAAAAGACUGGAUUUUGUGUUGUAUUGACUUUAUCAGCUUUCUGCACUCUUUUCUUGUCUUUUUUAAUGCACUUUUCGUUUAACAAGUCAACAUCAAUUUCUUUUGUUGUAAAAGGGUCAUUGGAAGGUGGCUUUCUUUUCGGAGAAAGUGUUUAUAGCCUUUGGCCUCUGCAAUCGGAGAGAUUGAGGUCUGCAGCGUAGAUCCUUCGGGGUUAGAUACAUUUGUGCUAAGUUAUAGCCUUUCAUAGACAACUUGUUGACUAUGAUCAGUCAUGUAGCUUACUCGCUUAUGCUAUUUUACCUACGCUUAGGAUGUUGACAAAAUGGUUUUAAACGACCCGUCU
This 717-nucleotide ribosomal RNA is filed under the name Caecomyces churrovis. RNAcentral describes it as "partial large subunit ribosomal RNA". It matches the Rfam family "Eukaryotic large subunit ribosomal RNA", at positions 88 to 654 of the family's 3401-position model. The record is from RNAcentral. Lineage: Eukaryota; Fungi; Neocallimastigomycota; Neocallimastigomycetes; Neocallimastigales; Neocallimastigaceae.